This 317-nucleotide ribosomal RNA is filed under the name uncultured Lactobacillus sp. Its description in RNAcentral is "bacterial SSU rRNA". It matches the Rfam family "Bacterial small subunit ribosomal RNA", at positions 381 to 692 of the family's 1533-position model. The record is from RNAcentral. Lineage: Bacteria; Bacillati; Bacillota; Bacilli; Lactobacillales; Lactobacillaceae.
GUCUGAUGGAGCACGCCGCGUGAGUGAUGAAGGGUUUCGGCUCGUAAAGCUCUGUUAUUGGAGAAGAAAGAUAGAGAUAGUAACUGCUCUUUGUUUGACGGUAUCCUACCAGAAAGGCACGGCUAACUACGUGCCAGCAGCCGCGGUAAUACGUAUGUGGCAAGCGUUGUCCGGAUUUAUUGGGCGUAAAGCGAGCGCAGGCGGUUAUUUAAGUCUGAUGUGAAAGCCUUCGGCUUAACCGUAGAAUUGCAUCGGAAACUGGAUGACUUGAGUGCAGAAGAGGAGAGUGGAACUCCAUGUGUAGCGGUGAAAUCGGG